AGUAGUUUGAUCAGUGGCUCGAGGACGAACGCUGGCGGCGUGCUUAACACAUGCAAGUCGAACGGAGUUAAGCGCUGGUUUGAUGCUAGCUUGCUAGCGGAUUUCCUUGCUUAACUUAGUGGCGGACGGGUGAGUAACGCGUGAGUAACCUGCCUCUCAGUGGGGAAUAACGCCCUGAAAAGAGCGCUAAUACCGCAUAACACAUAUUGACCGCAUGAUCGGUAUGUCAAAGAUUUAUCGCUGAGAGAUGGACUCGCGUCCGAUUAGCUAGUUGGUGAGGUAACGGCCCACCAAGGCGACGAUCGGUAGCCGGACUGAGAGGUUGAACGGCCACAUUGGGACUGAGACACGGCCCAGACUCC
This 362-nucleotide ribosomal RNA is filed under the name uncultured Ruminococcus sp. Its description in RNAcentral is "bacterial SSU rRNA". It matches the Rfam family "Bacterial small subunit ribosomal RNA", at positions 9 to 339 of the family's 1533-position model. The record is from RNAcentral. Lineage: Bacteria; Bacillati; Bacillota; Clostridia; Eubacteriales; Oscillospiraceae.